Molecule: long non-coding RNA, 4419 nt
Organism: Harpia harpyja (harpy eagle)
Lineage: Eukaryota; Metazoa; Chordata; Aves; Accipitriformes; Accipitridae
Exons: 6
Source: RefSeq, a predicted model, not a curated record
UGCUGCGGGGGAGGUUUGUGUGCUGGGGAGAGCACAGGAACAGACAGGAAGGCUUAUUUUUAGCAGCGUUUGAUAACAGGGCUGCAGCAAGGUAGCUGCUAGAAGACCUGCUCUGCUUUCUCGGGACAAGGUGACGGAGACUGCAGGGCAGCGAGCGAGCGCAGGAGGUGAGUACAGCAUUGAGCACGGAGUGAGAUGCUUCGAAGUGUAACCAUGCUGGAGGAGUUAUUACCGGGUGUAGCCCUGCUGCGACGAAGCGACCAGCCUCAGGCACCACCUCGGACUGAGACCACGCUGCAUUUCCCAUGGUGCCCUUGAGGAGCUGGGAUGGAUAAGGAUCAUCGCUCUGCCACAGCAGCAACUGCCUGUCGUUACAGAUUUAGCGCCAUCGAAGGAGUCCGGGGUAUUAAGUGGGAAGAAUGAGAAGUACAUUACCUGGCAUGCUACUGAAGUGGACCUUGGUAAGGAGGAUGGGAGCAGGACCCCUUCCCGAUGAGCUGGCACAAGGAGUGAUGGAGGGGUCUGCAGGGUCUCCCAUCCCGCCCACACUUCAGCAAGGCUUAUUCUCUGACAGCACUCCUGCACAGGCCCGCUGCCAACAUGGCCUUCAGCUCAAGGCAGCCACUGCCCGUUUCAUCUCCACAGACCCAGCAGCAGCCCCACAUGCCUGUUAAAGGCUGGAGAGCACCACAGCAGCACCCACGGUACCCGAGCAUCCCAUGGCUGGGCAAGCACCGACAGUCUGUCAGACAGGCUGAAGACCCGUCCCUGUGGCGUGUCCCUUGCACAACUUCACCGGGACGAAGUGCAGCGCAGGGGUCACGGCGUGUUUCUCCAAGAUGCCCUUCAGAGGCCCAGAGCGAGAGACAUCUAAAAUUCAUAAAUGUCAAGGAGGAAAGGAAGUGAGGACAACUAAAUAUAGAUAUCCAAACACCUCCUGUAAGGCUACAAAAGCAGCAUGAUAUACGCAGCCUAAAAGACUCCUUGGACUUGAGCUUGGCAAAGCAUUUAAGGCCAGUCUGGUGACUGGGGACCCUGGCGUUUUGUGUGGGAAACUUCGCUGUUUACUUCGCCAUUCCACUUCAAGGGGAGCAAAAAUGGGUCCUGAAAUAUCUGGGUGUCCUGCGGAAAGGAGAUGCUGGUUUUUCAAAAGGGAAUUGCACAGCAGAAGUACCUGAAACCCAAAAAGAAAUCCAGGGUUGUCAGAGUCUUCAGUAUCUCUUUUAAUUGUUACUCUGGUGGGAUUUUCUCAGAGAUUAUAUUUCCACAGUGAUAACUGUUAUCACUUUAUUUUAUAGUCCCAGCUAUUUGCAAGCUGGGAAUGAGCAGCGUUGGUGUCGAGCAGAGUUUCCAGGACAAGUUGAAAAGCAGAAAGCGCUGGCUUUCAUCUGCCCCGCUUACAAGGAGCACAACAUUUUCCCCAGUGCUUGCAUCCCAGUCCUGGCUCCCCGCGACCUUACGGCCAUCCCCUGCAAAGGCUGAUCGCUGAGGAGGCACUGAAGUUGGCCAGGCAACUGGCGUGCUUCAUGCCCGAAUGCCGUGCUAGGGCAGCGCCUGGGAGCUGCAGAGCUGGCUGCCUCGCAGCGCUUGCAGGAUCUGGCCCUUGGGCCAGGGAAAUAACGCUUGGUGUUUUCAAGGCAAGGGCCCUUUGAAGAAUUUCCCCCCAGCGCUGCUGGGCUUUGUUGUCCCGGCCACCGCAGGCACCGAGCGUGGGCUGCCGGCAAUCGCCCCACCGCCAGCCUGCGCGGCACAGCCGGCGGACCCCUCAGCGGUGUGCAGCUGGGACGAGCGGGCAGGGAUGUAUUAACGGCGGGAGCUUGUCACAGGCAAUUCGCAAAACAUUGCCCUAACCUUUGAUCCUACUAGCUUCGUCCUUUUCUCCUUGUUUCUCAUCUUCCCUUCUUCCUUCCAUCUUUACGCAGCGUCUUGCGGGGAAGGGACCCGAUGUGAGAUUUGUGGCUGCUCUUAGAGGUGCACCAGGAGCCUCGCUGUUGCCCUGGCCCUGUGCCAGCCAGCCAAGGCUUCCCACCGCCUUCCCACCUCCUUCCUGGACUGAACGCUUUUCCCCACAUGCAGUGAACCUGGGCGCUUCUCCCACCUGUUGGCAUUUUGCUUUUUUUUGGGUGGGUGUCUGCUUAAAUGGGGUUUUUCCCCGGAGACAUAUUAGCUGCCUUAAGCCCUGCCCCAGGACGAGGAGAAAUGAGCCAUCCUUUUUAACAGAACUUGCAUUUUUCCUCCUCACCUGCAUAAUACGUUCUGUUAAAUUUAUAGUUUUUCAAUCCCUUUGAUGUAGGGGACUCAAAACACUUCCUCACUAAUCUCACGCAGCAGUGCCUGAAACGCUGAAGGCGCUGGCGGGGGAUAUGGCAGGGAACCAGACAACAAUUAUUGGCGUUUGGGGGGCUGGGGCAGCAUUAAGAGACAGCUAAUUUUAAAAUAAAUUAUACCAUUAAACCACUUUUGGUUUUUUUUCCCCUGCUUUUUGUGCUACAGGCUCACCAAAGAAGAGGCAAAGCUGGAGCACCCCAGCAGAGUGGCCACGCUGGCUACAGAGGAGCUCACUGGGGGUUUGCGGGCAGGAGGAAGAGGAGGGCAGCUUUGUCUGGGAACAAGCUCCUGCACUGGGCGAAUGCACUUGCCCACCAACCGUACCAAAUACUUGUACAGGGAUUGACCCAUUCAAGCCGGUCACGCAAACCUCCCUCGCAAGACACUUCCUCUUUAGUAAUCAAUAACCUGCACACUCCACACCUUGCUUCCAUCUCACAUUUGGCAUGCAUUUGUCUUAAGUUAUUCGAAGUUGAAAGCAAAGAAAAAUGGUACUGUAAUUCUGCCUGCCACCAAUUCAAAGAUUUGGGGCUUUUGCUGGAGGAAGAGGAGUGACAAAAUGUAUGUGACGUAGGGCCCCGCAUCUGGAAGGCACCUUAAAGCUUUACAGAGAAGCUUUGCAUAGAGUGUAAUUUGCUGUUAGGAAAAAGCUGAAUUGCUAGAAUAGAAUUUUCCUGCUGCCGGCCCUGCCCGAGCUGGUGCCCAGAUGAGUGCUGUACCACAUGCCGUGCUUUGGGGAAGAGCGGUGGCAGCCGCCUUCCCUUCCGAAGGGGGACGUGAACUGAGACGCCAGCCUGUCACCAGAGCCCCUUCCCCAGGAAUGUGGCUGCAGCUGCUGUUCCGAGGGCAGAACUUUGGCUCCCCAUAAUUAAUACUGAUUUUGCCGUAACAGCUUGUAUUUUAGUGCAUUAUCUUUCCUCUUUUCCACCCUUUGAGCUGUGAUUGCUACUCCACUUUAUAAAGGAAGCCCCAUUAUUUUCUCUCACAAAUAGAGCGGGGUCAAUUUUCAUAGCCCCUUCGCCACUCCAUUAAGCAUUACUGAAUUCACCACUUCUCACUGAUACGGCAGUAUUUCUGUCUCUGCUCGCUUUUCGUUUCUUCCUAAAGCUCAGGAAGACACUUGCUCAUAAUCGUGGGUUUAGUAUCCGAGAAACCCAACCAUUUGCUGAAACUUCAGCAAAAGUUUAAACAUUGCCACGUCUUUACCAAUGGGCAGGAUUAGCCACAGCCCUGGCUUAGCAUCUUUCCAGAAGUCAAGUGGGCUUGUUCUCUGGAUGGGCUUCAUUUAGUUACUGAAGGUCUUAGGGACUCCUUAAGGAUGCUCGCCCAUCAGCUGGGAUCGGAGAAUGUGGUUCUCUCCCACAAAGGGCUUUGCGCCGUGGAAACGUGUGCAAGCCAGGCUCCGGAGCGGGAUGCCUGGGACCACGCUGGACUGCAGGAGCAUGUCCUCACGGGAGCCUGGCUGGAUGAGCGUGCAUGUUUGCUCUGGGUGCGCAAAGAUGGGAAGGAGUUAAGCCCAGCCACCCCAGGACCUUCAUGUCCAGCAUGAUUCAGGCCAUUUAAUUAGUGUCCCAUGCUUGGCAUAUUCGAUAGUGUUUUCCCCCCAGGGAGAAGCGCACCAGCUCACAUAUAUUGCCUGUUAUCUUUCAAGUACUCAGAGCAGAAUGCUUUUUCAGUAACCUCAUCAAAGGAUAAGCCAGGAUUCAGAUAAGCUUUUCAAGGAGGAAGUCAGGGUUAUAAUUUUCAGAGACUUCUGAAUGUCACCUCCAAUUUUCGGCUCCGCCGUUGGAGCGGCCGUUUUUGGAAGCCACCUAGCCUCAGAUAUUGAAAUGGGUGACCUGUGGACUCAGGCCUCCUCAGUUUCUGGUCAUCGUCAGUCUGGCAGAUCCUGGAGUUGAAAGUGCUUGAGAUUUCUGACUUUAUAAUAACGCGGUUUCUCAGAAGUGCAAAUUACAGAGGAAUUGGUGCUAAACUCCCCAUUAACUAUGGAGCCCGAGAAAUCCUCAGUGUCCCAAAUUACCUGUCACUUUCUCUGUAACACGGCAUAAUUCUGUCGCUUUAAAAAAAAAAAAGUGACCAUCAUUUGACAUU